Molecule: long non-coding RNA, 1076 nt
Organism: Papaver somniferum (opium poppy)
Lineage: Eukaryota; Viridiplantae; Streptophyta; Magnoliopsida; Ranunculales; Papaveraceae
Exons: 3
Source: RefSeq, a predicted model, not a curated record
UUAGAAAGAGCAUUAUCAAUGAGAGGAAGAACAACACAAGCGACUGAAGAAGAAGGAUUAGGAGGAGGAGUAGGAGGAGGAGGAGGAGGAAAUGAAGAGGAAAGAGAUGACGAUGAAUAAAAAAUAAGAAAGAUUUCAUUAGCAAUGAGAAUAACAAAUCUAAUUACAUACAAAUUUGGUGUGUUUUGGCCAUGUUCUUUCAUUGUUUUCUCCUUCCUUCUUCUUGUUUCUUCUAUUAUUAUUCGUUCAAGGAAUUCUGUUUGUGUUUCGACUCUGGAUUCAAAAAGUUUGAUUGGGAUUGAUGGUUAGGUUCAGAUUUUGGUACUCUUGGUAUCGAAAUCGGGACGAGUGGUGGAAUGGACAACAAAGGAUUUAUUAAGCGAUUGGAAGAGUUAGUGACGAUAUAUGAAACACGGGCAAUCAAUAAUAAUCUGUAUGGGAUGGGAUUUGAUCUUUGGUUUGGACUUUGGUUUAUGAUUAGGUGGAACCUUAUCUGAUGAUGGAGAGUGGUGCUUUUAAAGGGCAUUCAACAUGGGUUCUUAUUUUUAGUUGCCCCUUUUAUUCAGUUCUUGGAUCUUUCAAUUCUAGAUUUUUUUUUAUUUUUUUUUAUGCAUCAAUUCUAGAUGUUUCUUGGUGGAUUUGAUGUAGUUUUUUGUUAUCUUUGUGGGUUUUGUCACUAAUUUUAGGGAUUUUGACUGAAAUUUGUUUAAUUAUCAGAGAAUUUUGGUAUUUGUCACUUGACUUUUUUUUUAGUUCGAUUUUACGGUGAUUUGCUAAUUAGGAUCUUACAGAAUUUGGCAUUGGUAGGAACUCAAAAGGUGAAUUUUCCAAGAAACAGCCCCGAGUGAUACUUACGUUAGGGCUUAUAAAUUUGUCCUGGGUUUCUGAAUUUGUGUGAAUAGAUUGAAGCAGGCACUGAAAGCUGGGUUCAAGCAUUUGAUCUUUGAGAUACUGGUACUGGUGAUUUGAGGCAUAUGUGACCAAUCCUAUAUCAGAGGUUUAUCAGAGUGAGAAGAAUCUUCUACCUGGAGCAGCAUAACCAACGGAGCCCCUUAUCCCGACUGAAGUACUGGCGG